This 279-nucleotide unclassified non-coding RNA is filed under the name Cortinarius sp. RNAcentral's name for it is "partial contains 5.8S ribosomal RNA, internal transcribed spacer 2, and large subunit ribosomal RNA". The stretch from base 1 to 52 matches the Rfam family "5.8S ribosomal RNA", at positions 103 to 154 of the family's 154-position model. The record is from RNAcentral. RNAcentral also lists the same sequence under 2 other names. Lineage: Eukaryota; Fungi; Basidiomycota; Agaricomycetes; Agaricales; Cortinariaceae.
AACGCACCUUGCGCUCCUUGGUAUUCCGAGGAGCAUGCCUGUUUGAGUGUCAUUAAUAUAUAUAUAUCAACCUUCUCUUGCUGAGUGGGUUGGAUGUGGGGGUUUGCUGGCCUUUUAAAGGUUCAGCUCUCCUGAAAUGCAUUAGCAGAACAACCUGUUCAUUGGUGUGAUAACUAUCUACGCUAUUGAAUGUGAGGGGCAGUUCAGCUUUCUAACAGUCCUUGGACAACUUAUCAUUAAUGUGACCUCAAAUCAGGUAGGACUACCCGCUGAACUUAA